This 407-nucleotide long non-coding RNA is filed under the name Salmo salar (Atlantic salmon). Its description in RNAcentral is "lncRNA (ENSSSAG00000094573.1, ENSSSAG00000096555.1)". The record is from RNAcentral. Lineage: Eukaryota; Metazoa; Chordata; Actinopteri; Salmoniformes; Salmonidae.
AAAUGUUCAUAAGAAAGAAGUGAAAUGCUAAUAGAAAUGUUUCACAUUGAUGUCAUUAGGCAGAGCAGGCAACAGAUGGCACACAGACAGCAGAGUUGGGGACAGAUAUGCAGGGACAGACUGGCAGAGACAGGGAGUCUCAGGGAAAGUGCAAUAUGCUGUAUACUCAAUGAACCAACAGACUAUCUAUUAUACAUCUGCUCCUGGGAAGGACUUGCUGGACCCCUCCACACUCCCAGGAAAACCAGGAAUCCAGUCAACGGUCAGAGAGAGAAGAUCCAUCUGCCUUCAAUUGAGAACAGUCAGAAGUGUCCAUCAUGUGCCAGAGCAACAGCAGAGCAUCGUAAAAUCAUCCCUAAAUCUGCCCCCUCCCUCCAGUCUAAGAUGACGUCCUUCUCAUGUUGCCU